ACGAACGCUGGCGGCGUGCUUAACACAUGCAAGUCGAGCGGAAAGGCCCUUUCGGGGGUACUCGAGCGGCGAACGGGUGAGUAACACGUGAGUAAUCUGCCCUUCACUUGGGGAUAACCUCCGGAAACGGUGGCUAAUACCCGAUAUGACCGGGACCUGCAUGGGUUUUGGUGGAAAGUUUUUUCGGUGGAGGAUGUGCUCGCGGCCUAUCAGCUUGUUGGUGGGGUAAUGGCCUACCAAGGCUUCGACGGGUAGCCGGCCUGAGAGGGUGACCGGCCACACUGGGACUGAGACACGGCCCAGACUCCUACGGGAGGCAGCAGUGGGGAAUAUUGGACAAUGGGCGGAAGCCUGAUCCAGCAACGCCGCGUGAGGGAUGACGGCCUUCGGGUUGUAAACCUCUUUCACCGAUGACGAAGCGCAAGUGACGGUAGUCGGAGAAGAAGCACCGGCCAACUACGU
This 462-nucleotide ribosomal RNA is filed under the name uncultured bacterium. RNAcentral describes it as "bacterial SSU rRNA". It matches the Rfam family "Bacterial small subunit ribosomal RNA", at positions 29 to 506 of the family's 1533-position model. The record is from RNAcentral.